GACGAACGCUGGCGGCGUGCUUAACACAUGCAAGUCGAACGCUGAAGCACCAGCUUGCUGGUGUGGAUGAGUGGCGAACGGGUGAGUAAUACGUGAGUAACCUGCCCUUGACUCUGGGAUAAGCCCGGGAAACUGGGUCUAAUACUGGAUGCUACAUGUCACCGCAUGGUGGUGUGUGGAAAGGGUUUACUGGUCUUGGAUGGGCUCACGGCCUAUCAGCUUGUUGGUGAGGUAAUGGCUCACCAAGGCGACGACGGGUAGCCGGCCUGAGAGGGUGACCGGCAACACUGGGACUGAGACACGGCCCAGACUCCUACGGGAGGCAGCAGUGGGUAAUAUUGCACAAUGGGCGAAAGCCUGAUGCAGCGACGCCGCGUGAGGGAUGACGGCCUUCGGGUUGUAAACCUCUUUCAGCAGGGAAGAAGCCACAAGUGACGGUACCUGCAGAAGAAGCGCCGGCUAACUACGUG
RNAcentral lists this ribosomal RNA (470 nucleotides) under uncultured bacterium. RNAcentral describes it as "partial 16S ribosomal RNA". It matches the Rfam family "Bacterial small subunit ribosomal RNA", at positions 28 to 507 of the family's 1533-position model. The record is from RNAcentral.